Columba livia (rock pigeon) is the source of this 1853-nucleotide long non-coding RNA. RefSeq lists it as uncharacterized. The record is from RefSeq and is a predicted model, not a curated record. NCBI's taxonomy places the organism in Eukaryota, Metazoa, Chordata, Aves, Columbiformes, Columbidae. The transcript is spliced from 4 exons.
CUGGAAACGCUUGACCAUCCAUAGAAGUGGCUUGGAGCCACAAAAGCCCUGUCUCUUCAAACACGUUUUGCAUUCUUCACACUACAGCACUAAAGAAAGAUCAGAAUCCCUCAGCAUAGUACAAUUCUGCAAUACAGCGACCGGGUUGGUCGUGCUGCUAAGACACCUUGUCCAAAGAUCUGCAGCUCUUGCUCUUUGCUGAAGACAAAAGGCCGAUGAGUCGGUUCCAGCAGAGGCAAACCAAAUCUAAGCACUGACAGGGCUGCAGAGCAAAAUGGCCCCGCAAUGGGGCCUCGUGGCCCCGGGGGCCGCCAUGCCGGCCACCGCAGCGGCCGUUGGGGACGCCACGAGCCUCUGUGAUGGCAGUUGGAGCACAGCUGUGCCAGCUGCGCCAUCGCUCCGAGAGAAGAGGCCGCAGACGACAGCGCCGGAUCGACGCGAAGAAGAGAGAGGAGGCUCAGGGACCCCCUGGGAUGGCUCCGCCGCCCAAACGGCGGCUGCCUGGCGGGAGCAGCAGCACCGCCCACAGGCAGGAGGAGCCCAUGGAGAUUGACCCACCCCGGGAAGAGGCGGAGCCCAUGGAGGUGGAUCCGCCUCGGCAGGAGGAGGAGGCGAUGGAGGUGGAUCCGCCUCAGGCAGGGCUGCUGGGGCCCAGCACCAGCAUGGCCGGACCGCCUCCGGCGCCGCAGUGCCCUAAGCGCCGCAGGACGGCCGGGGGCUCUCCCAGAGCCCCCAAACAGGCGCCUGGCCGCAAGCGGCGCCGCCCCCGCAGCCGCCACUAGCCACCUCCGGGGGAUGGGCCGGACCAGCAGCCGCUCUGGAGCCACAGGUGAGCCCGGCUUCCCAGCCCGCACCCCCGGCCCUCAUGCCGGGGCAUCUCCUCUGCCCUGGGGCCUGGGGAAGAGGCGAGGAGGGUCGCUGCCAUCUUCUGCUCGGCAGCCCCAGAGCACCGGGAGGAGUCCUCAGGAGCCACCACACAGCGGGGGACAGCGCCACAGACGCCAGGACACCCGAGGACAGCGCUGGAGCUUGCCUUCAAGGCAAAAGAAGCCCACUGGAGACCGCCAGAGACCGUCGGGGACAGAAGGACACCGUGGGAUCUGCACCUUGCCUUAUAAAAGGAGAAGUGUGGAGACUUGGAGACGAAACCUGACGAGGCUCGGUCAGGAAUUCUUGACAGGACUACCGGAAGGAGUUUUUGAAGGUCAGAGGCAUUUGGGCACUCUCGGCAGUCCGGGAGAUGGCUCCGGCUCAAGGUAGGACAGGGUAGGAUAGGCUAGGGCUUGGGCAGGUCCUGGGGGGCGUGAGCAGCCUGUGGGACGAGGAGCCAGGUCUGGCUCACAUGCUCAGGGAACAGCCGAUCGCCAGCACUGGGGUCAGGAAGGAAUUUUUUCCCCCGGGGCAGAUUGGCACUGGUCCCCGGGGGUUUUUUGCCUUCCUCUGCAGCACUGAGCACGACCACUUUGCAGAGCUCCUCUGGGCCCUUUUGGCUCGGUUCCUGCCCGCUGCUCAAGCACCAGGAAGAUGGCCUCUCGUGCCCCGCAGCUGGGGGGAGGAAGGCUUUUUUGCCUUCCUCUGCAGCGCUGAGCACGGCCCCUUCCCACGGCUGAUUUGGGCCAUUUGGGCUGGGCGCCUGCUGCUCCACCAGUUGGCCCUAAACUUAGCUAGAACAGCCUACCUAAACCAGCACAGAACAACUCACCUAAACCAACCUUAAACAACCUAAACCAGUCUGCCUUCAAAAACUUCAAUCAGCCACCUACAACCUAAGCAGAACCUUAAACAAUCUACGACAAAUUACCUAAACCAACCUAAACCAAACAAAAGAAACCAACCUAAACACCCUAAAACAA